UAUGUAGGGUGCAAGCGUUAAUCGGAAUUACUGGGCGUAAAGCGUGCGCAGGCGGUUGUGUAAGUCUGACGUGAAAUCCCCGGGCUUAACCUGGGAAUGGCGUUGGAGACUGCAUAGCCAGAGUGUGUCAGAGGGGGGUAGAAUUCCACGUGUAGCAGUGAAAUGCGUAGAGAUGUGGAGGAACACCGAUGGCGAAGGCAGCCCCCUGGGAUAACACUGACGCUCAUGCACGAAAGCGUGGGGAGCAAACAGG
RNAcentral lists this ribosomal RNA (253 nucleotides) under uncultured bacterium. RNAcentral's name for it is "partial 16S ribosomal RNA". It matches the Rfam family "Bacterial small subunit ribosomal RNA", at positions 524 to 776 of the family's 1533-position model. The record is from RNAcentral.